This 2125-nucleotide long non-coding RNA is filed under the name Bos indicus x Bos taurus (hybrid cattle). RNAcentral describes it as "lncRNA (ENSBIXG00000007416.1)". The record is from RNAcentral. Lineage: Eukaryota; Metazoa; Chordata; Mammalia; Artiodactyla; Bovidae.
GCUUUCAAAGGUGGCCGGGGAUCUGGAGCGCGUGGGAGCCGCAGGGGGACCGCAGGGAAGAUAAAGAAACCCAAUGGGACCGCCAGUCGCUAAACCCAGGCGAGGACGAGGGGACGGGGCUGCGAGACAAGGGGGGCUGGGAAAAAUAUGGGACGCCUCGAGCUAAUUCCCCUGAUUAAAAAUGCAUUCGUUUGGAGGUGUCAGGGACACGCAGCUGUUUUCAAGGAAAAGUCUGGCUCCGAAAGGUCCUCCCCGGCCGGGCCGCCUGGCGGCUCCAUCUCUCGGAGUGGAUGUCAGCAACCCCCGCCCCCCGCCCCCCGCCCGGGCCCCGCCGCCGACGCUUGUCCUCUGCCUGACAGGGCCCUGGCCAGUGUCCUGCUGCCGAGGGUCGUGCUUCCAUUCUAAGGCCAAUUCUACAAAGUUCUUCAGAGGAUCCUGGCGCCAUUACAUUUGGAGGGUGCACAGAUGCAAAAUGAGAGGACUGGGAAGAAAUAAAGGACAGAAACCAGAUUUCCUGUCAUUGCAAAAGUGCAAUUAAAAAUUCUCUUUCUGGAGCUUCCCUGGUGGCUCAGUGACAAAGAAUCUGCUUGCCAAUGCAGGAGACAUGGGUUCGAUCCCUGAUCCAGGAUGAUCUCAUAUGCUGCAGAGCAACUAAGUCCGUGUGCCACAACUAUUGAGCCUGUGCUGUAGAGCCCAGGAGCCGCAACUGUUCGAUCCAUGUGCCACUCACUGAAGCCUGCACUCCCUAGUGCCUGUGCUGCAGAACAAGAGAAGCCACUGCAAUGAGAAGCCCACACCCUGCAACUGAAGGUAGCCUCUGCUUAACCGAAACUAGAUAAAAAGCCCACGCAGCAGUGAAGACUCAGCACAACCAAAAAAAAAAAAAAGAUUAUUUUACUAAGUGCACUGCUGGUCUCUCGAUAACAAUGAAGCCAGCAGGUAAUGUCCAUCAGAGCAGGAACUUUGUCUUAUUUUCCACUCGGCCCCUAAUGCCUGAAACAGUGCUCCUUAUUGAAAGUACUGGACAAAUAUUUGCUGAAAGAGAAUUUGCAAAAUAACCAGACUGGCCUAACUCAGAUGUGUGCCACGCUUAUCCUACCAUCUUGUCUCUGCAUCUUCUAUGUAGCUUUCCAAUAUACCUAUUAUUAUUAUCAUUCUAAUACAGCUAGAAACAAUAGCAAAUACACAAAAUUUAUCUGUCUGUGCCAGGCACUAUACAUAUAUUUGUCUUUAAUCUUUAUAAAACCCAGCAAUGUAAACCCACUGAACCUAGGUCUGUCUGGCUGUAGUCUACGAUAAACACUGCUUCCUAAAAACACUAACCACAAAGGCAAGGAGGAGCAUUGAUGAACAGGCAUAGAUACUCCACCAAAGUCCCAGAUAAUAGGAAACCAAUUUGGUUUCUGUUUAAACUGAAGGAAGUGUCAAGGAGCAUCAUAAACACAUCAUUUAAUUGAUGAUGGAUUUUCUUGUUUAAAAUUAUUGUGGAUUAUGUAACCAACAUAUGUACUUAUCAUGUACAUAGCCCUGAGUGAAGCACUGGGAAGAGCUAUAAAAGCAGUUAACACAGGAGCUUAUACUCAGGCCUGCUAUAAAGGCCACCGUUCUUUCUCCUUUUUUAAAGAGUACUCGGUCGUUUGUCUGAGUAGUAUACAGAAGACUUAGACACACAUAAUCUGAAAAGUCCUAGAAACAUUUUUGUGGGAUGUGAAGGACAAGGCCCUGAGCUCUGUGAAGAGCUGCUUAAAUGCUCCCUGAGCAUGGCUAGAGAGGAACACAAGUAAGAAUAUAUCUGAACACAAGUAUUCGAAAGUGUCUGUGGUAUCUGCCAUGGGCUUGAGACUGCUGCCUGGGUGUCCAUUGAAUGGUUACUGUUUCUCAAAUCGGUAAUCCAGAAUUCCACUCCCACAUACCACUAAGACUCCGACUGGCUAACUUAUCUCACACAUUGUAGUAUAGUAUGAUACCAGCUAGAAAAGGACAAAACCUUCUAAUCAAAGAAGGUUUUACUUUAAGAAUUUUUAGGCAAAAUACUCUCCGACAUACAUCACAGCAGGAUCCUCUAUGACCCACCUCCAAGAAUAUUGGAAAUAAAAGCAAAAAUAAACAAAUGGGACCUAAUUAA